This 77-nucleotide transfer RNA is filed under the name Occallatibacter sp. Its description in RNAcentral is "tRNA-Arg". It matches the Rfam family "tRNA". From Rfam's summary of the family: Transfer RNA (tRNA) molecules are approximately 80 nucleotides in length. Their secondary structure includes four short double-helical elements and three loops (D, anti-codon, and T loops). Lineage: Bacteria; Pseudomonadati; Acidobacteriota; Terriglobia; Terriglobales; Acidobacteriaceae. RNAcentral also lists the same sequence under 4 other names. The record is from RNAcentral.
GCGCCCGUAGCUCAGCUGGAUAGAGCGACUGGCUACGAACCAGUAGGUCGGGAGUUCGAAUCUCUCCGGGCGCACCA